CCUACGGGAGGCAGCAGUGGGGAAUAUUGGACAAUGGGGGCAACCCUGAUCCAGCCAUGCCGCGUGUGUGAAGAAGGCCCUCGGGUUGUAAAGCACUUUCAGUGAGGAAGAACGCCUGUUGGUUAAUACCCAUCAGGAAAGACAUCACUCACAGAAGAAGCACCGGCUAACUCCGUGCCAGCAGCCGCGGUAAUACGGAGGGUGCGAGCGUUAAUCGGAAUUACUGGGCGUAAAGCGCGCGUAGGUGGCUUGAUAAGCCGGUUGUGAAAGCCCCGGGCUCAACCUGGGAACGGCAUCCGGAACUGUCAAGCUAGAGUGCAGGAGAGGAAGGUAGAAUUCCCGGUGUAGCGGUGAAAUGCGUAGAGAUCGGGAGGAAUACCAGUGGCGAAGGCGGCCUUCUGGACUGACACUGACACUGAGGUGCGAAAGCGUGGGUAGCAAACAGGAUUAGAUACCCCUGUAGUC
Molecule: ribosomal RNA, 465 nt
Filed under: Vreelandella stevensii
Lineage: Bacteria; Pseudomonadati; Pseudomonadota; Gammaproteobacteria; Oceanospirillales; Halomonadaceae
Description: partial 16S ribosomal RNA
Rfam family: Bacterial small subunit ribosomal RNA
Source: RNAcentral